Molecule: transfer RNA, 75 nt
Filed under: Candidatus Vogelbacteria bacterium RIFOXYD1_FULL_44_32
Lineage: Bacteria; Candidatus Vogeliibacteriota
Description: tRNA-Trp
Rfam family: tRNA
About the family: Transfer RNA (tRNA) molecules are approximately 80 nucleotides in length. Their secondary structure includes four short double-helical elements and three loops (D, anti-codon, and T loops).
Source: RNAcentral
GGGCCUAUAGUUUCAAUGGUAAAACGCCGGUCUCCAAAACCGUAGUUCGAGGUUCGAGUCCUCGUGGGCCCGCCA